CCAAAGGCUCUUUUAAGAGCCACUCCCUUUCUCUUCAGAAGAGCUG
Mesitornis unicolor (brown roatelo) is the source of this 46-nucleotide non-coding RNA. The record is from Rfam. NCBI's taxonomy places the organism in Eukaryota, Metazoa, Chordata, Aves, Mesitornithiformes, Mesitornithidae.